Molecule: long non-coding RNA, 715 nt
Organism: Oreochromis aureus
Lineage: Eukaryota; Metazoa; Chordata; Actinopteri; Cichliformes; Cichlidae
Source: Ensembl
CAGCCCUCAUCACUCCGCAGUCUGCCCCCCCAGCCCACUGAUAGCAACCAUCAUAAUGCCCCACCCAGCUUCCGGCACCUUUCGCCACUCCGGCACAAGCCGACACAGCUUUGCGAUCUCGCCAGCAUGCAGAGUCUGAUGUCUUCCCUAUAGAUGAUUCCAGAGACUCUGUGAGGCCACUAUUACAAGGUGAGACGCUUUGCGUUGAUUGGUGCUGCUGGACCACACUGGAGGUGCGAGUCUGCCGUGUAAUGGUUUAUGCCAUUACAAAGGAGCUGGCCUCUGUACUCAACUGGGCAGGGGAAAAAAAACCAAGGACCAGACAAAGCAAAAAAGGGCAUUUAAAGAGACAGCGCUGUGCAGAUGCAUAUUUGAUGGCCUGGCGCAGCAGGUAGGGGCGAACUCUAUGUCUGAGUUGGUCUUUGCUCAAGCAGUCCAGAAAUGGCUCAGAUAUGAUCCAGAUCGUACGGGUGGCGCGCAGGACGCACAUCAUCCAUCCCCAUCCCGGAGUAAAUAAUAAAAAGUGACGUGAAACAUAGAAAUAGCUGAUUCACCGAUGGAGGAGUUUGUGGACGAUGAGAACCAGCAGCAAAUGCUGACACUGGCAGAGGUAAGUCCCUUUAACCAGGCAGGAGCUGGACCCAAAAUGCAGGCAGUCAGACUCGAGGGAUGAACUCAAAAUCACAGCUUUAUUGGCUGGCAGGGGAAAACAAGC